RNAcentral lists this ribosomal RNA (570 nucleotides) under Triticum aestivum (bread wheat). RNAcentral's name for it is "partial small subunit ribosomal RNA". The record is from RNAcentral. Lineage: Eukaryota; Viridiplantae; Streptophyta; Magnoliopsida; Poales; Poaceae.
AUGAUUACCCGUAAACUGAAACCAAACGGGAGGAGGGGGUUUGUGGGAGUCCGGACACGAGAAAACAUCAUUCUUUGCCCUCUAGCCCAUCCAAAAAGAAGGUGGAGCCCGCACUUUUGUUGCAACCCGCACUGUUUCCGCGUGAAAAUCCCUCACUCUCAUCUUUCGUCACCGUCGCUCUCUACCCAAUUCCUGCCCCUUUCUCUCACCCUCUUCUUCCUUCCACCGCCGACACAUGGAACCGUCAUAGAAGCUGUCGGAGAUGGAGGUGUUUGUGGUGUCGAAGGAUCCGAGCACCACGCUCGCCCGGAAGAUCAGCUCGGCUACGCGGCAAACUCGUCGCGUCAAAGUGAAGUCCACAAAAGGAGGAGAAGCCCAAGAAGUCGAUGGUCGUCGGUGGGCUUGGUUGUGGCAUUGGGCGUGGAGGUCGUGGCGGACGCCGCCAGACGGGCGCGCCCACCGAGAAAUCUUCAGCGUCGUGCAUUGUUGCUUGAAGUUGAAUGGGUAACCGAAGUGAAACCUUUUCAUAGCCAAGACCGCUGCCCAAGCCAACGAGGAAGAGACCAGUGA